This 465-nucleotide ribosomal RNA is filed under the name Vreelandella stevensii. Its description in RNAcentral is "partial 16S ribosomal RNA". It matches the Rfam family "Bacterial small subunit ribosomal RNA", at positions 338 to 795 of the family's 1533-position model. The record is from RNAcentral. Lineage: Bacteria; Pseudomonadati; Pseudomonadota; Gammaproteobacteria; Oceanospirillales; Halomonadaceae.
CCUACGGGUGGCAGCAGUGGGGAAUAUUGGACAAUGGGGGGAACCCUGAUCCAGCCAUGCCGCGUGUGUGAAGAAGGCCCUCGGGUUGUAAAGCACUUUCAGUGAGGAAGAACGCCUGGUGGUUAAUACCCAUCAGGAAAGACAUCACUCACAGAAGAAGCACCGGCUAACUCCGUGCCAGCAGCCGCGGUAAUACGGAGGGUGCGAGCGUUAAUCGGAAUUACUGGGCGUAAAGCGCGCGUAGGUGGAUUGAUAAGCCGGUUGUGAAAGCCCCGGGCUCAACCUGGGAACGGCAUCCGGAACUGUCAAGCUAGAGUGCAGGAGAGGAAGGUAGAAUUCCCGGUGUAGCGGUGAAAUGCGUAGAGAUCGGGAGGAAUACCAGUGGCGAAGGCGGCCUUCUGGACUGACACUGACACUGAGGUGCGAAAGCGUGGGUAGCAAACAGGAUUAGAUACCCUUGUAGUC